AGCGAACGCUGGCGGCAGGCUUAACACAUGCAAGUCGAACGGUCCUUCGGGAUAGUGGCGGACGGGUGAGUAACACGUGGGAACGUGCCUUUAGGUUCGGAACAACACAGGGAAACUUGUGCUAAUACCGGAUGUGCCCUUCGGGGGAAAGAUUUAUCGCCUUUAGAGCGGCCCGCGUCUGAUUAGUUUGUUGGUGAGGUAAUGGCUCACCAAGGCGACGAUCAGUAGCUGGUCUGAGAGGAUGACCAGCCACAUUGGGACUGAGACACGGCCCAAACUCCUACGGGAGGCAGUAGUGGGGAAUCUUGCGCAAUGGGCGAAAGCCUGACGCAGCCAUGCCGCGUGAAUGAUGAAGGUCUUAGGAUUGUAGAAUUCUUUCACCGGGGACGAUAAUGACGGUACCCGGAGAAGAAGCCCCGGCUAACUUCGUGCCAGCAGCCGCAGUAA
This 447-nucleotide ribosomal RNA is filed under the name uncultured bacterium. Its description in RNAcentral is "partial 16S ribosomal RNA". It matches the Rfam family "Bacterial small subunit ribosomal RNA", at positions 29 to 523 of the family's 1533-position model. The record is from RNAcentral.